CACAAAGCUUGGUGUAUCCAAAUGCAGAUUAGUCUCAGGGAUGCCAUGUCAGUUAAGAGUAAUCUAUGGUCCUUUCAAAACUCUUGCUGGGUUUUGCCUAAGAUUCGAAGCCUAAAGCUCUGAAUUCUGACCUCCCUGAUUACUGACUGAGGAAACAAUAUCCCCAAAAUGGAAAGCUCCAGGUCUGUGUGCUUAGAUUUAGGCUCCAAGGACUGAACACCCUGCAUGUAAGGUGUGUGUCUAAGCAGUAUUUAUGACAUAACAAACCAGCCAAGAGCUGGAGGUUCUGAUCAGCAAAUAAGGAAGGAACAACAUCUGACAUCUUUACCCACUUUAACUGAAAGUUCCCACAAUAAUCUCAUCAUGAGGCUCACUCGUUCUCACCUCCAGAGUUCUGGGGGGUAAAAUAAUACAUAAAUGCAAGGAUUAUCUUAUAUAUACACCAAGGGAAAGGAAAUACUGCCUAUUAAGAAUUAGCAGCUAACAGCUGGGCGCGGUGGCUCACACCUGUAAUCCCAGCACUUUGGGAGGCCAAGGCAGGCGGAUCACAAGAUCAGGAGUUCGAGACCAUGCUGGCUAACAAGCAUCAAGCAAAGAACUUGUAAUACGCUGAAUGCUGCAUAGAAGGUUUUGAAACUACUUACCUGCUGUGGAACACCUGUAUAACUUUAAAAUGCAUCAAUCAAUCUCGAGAGUAUGAUCAUGCUUCCUGCUUUUAAGGAUCUGAAGUUAACUGCAACUCCAAGUAUACAAGACUUCUUUGGGACCCAUGGAAGCAUCUCUACAUGCUCAUGUUUGCCAGAUUCAGUGGCCUCCUGAAACCUGGCCCUAGCUAAUAAGUUAAAAAGCUCUAAGUAAUCCCGAGCUGCAUUUGAAUCUCCAAGAUCACUUGUUCAUGGGUUGGUAAUACUUUAAAGAGCCAUUUGUUUAACUGCUAAUCUGGAUCUUAUAUUCUGAGCCCCAGCUUUUUUCUAAAGCAAAGAAAAUACAAAAUAAAAGUAAGACCAAAUGCCUUUGUACCAUGGAGAGAGAAAUGACUCAUUGGAAUGCUUCUGUUUUUCAUCACAUCAAAGAUGCAUCAACAUAAAUCAACCAUUAUAUCAUGCACCAUGAUAAAAAAGGGGGAUAAAAGUCCCCAAACCACUGCCAAUUAAACCAACACAGUGCCUUUGUAUUAUUCAGAAUUUUUAUCUUAGCCUUAUUGAAAGAGCUUUUUUAGAACAUAUUUAAACAAUUCUGUCAUAUUUCAUUCUUGCAUACUCAUUAAAAAGGAAAAUAUGAGAGAUACAAAUGAAAGGUUUCCAAAAGUUUCCUCUCAUUCAGAAUCCAAUUCUUCAGAAUUAUUUUGCAACCCAGACUCUUUGAUGUCCUCGUUUUCCCACCAAAUAUGUUAUCAAGAGCAUGGUAGGGCAGAGUUUCUUAGAAGAAGGCAAUGUUAUUGUCAUUGAACACUGGCACUCAUCCUACAAGUUUUGAUUUUGGCCUCUUUUUUUCUGUGGGGUGGGGGGCAGGGUCUCGCUCUGUUGCCCAGGCUGGAGUGCAGUGGCACAGUCAUGGAUCACUGCAGCCUUGGCCUCCUGGGCUCAAGUCGUCCUCCCACCUCAGCCUCCCAAGUAGCUGAGACCGCAAGUGUGUGCUAUGUUUUUAUUUUUUUACUUUUAUUUUUUUAAUUUUAUUUAUUUACUGUUUAUUUAUUUAUUUAUUUUUGAGACAGGGUCUCACUCUGUCACCCAGGCUGGAGUGCACUGGUGUGAUCUGGGCUCACUGCAACCUCCACCUCCUGGGUUCAAGCAUUUCUCCUGCCUCAACCUCCUGAGUAGCUGGGAGUACAGGAUUGCACCACCAUGCCCAGCUAAUUUUUGUAUUUCAGUAGAGACAGGAUUUCACCAUGUUGGCCAGGCUGGUCUCGAACUCCUAGCCUCAAGUGAUCCGCGCACCUUGGACUCCCAAAGUUCUGGGAUUACAGGCGUGAACCACCAGGCCCGCCCUAAUUUUUUCAUUUUUUUUAUAGAAAUGGGGUCUCACUGUGUUGCCUAAGCUGGUCUCAAAUUCCUAGUCUCAAGUGAUCCUCCCACCUCGGCCUCCCAAAGUCCUGGGAUUACAGGUGUGAGCCAUCACACCUAGC
RNAcentral lists this long non-coding RNA (2125 nucleotides) under Homo sapiens (human). RNAcentral describes it as "HSALNT0299380". Lineage: Eukaryota; Metazoa; Chordata; Mammalia; Primates; Hominidae. The record is from RNAcentral.